RNAcentral lists this long non-coding RNA (216 nucleotides) under Carica papaya (papaya). Its description in RNAcentral is "long non-coding RNA (CPAP_LNC002392)". The record is from RNAcentral. Lineage: Eukaryota; Viridiplantae; Streptophyta; Magnoliopsida; Brassicales; Caricaceae.
UCAUUUUCACUGUCAGGAAGUGGGAGGACUUGGUUAGCCUAUCCAUAAUCACCUAGAUAGCAUCAUGGUCUACUCGGAUCCUAGGCAAUCUAAUUACAAAGGUCAUGGUGAUAUGUUUGCAUUUCCACUCAAGAAUUGGAAAAAGUUAGAGGGGUCCACUAGGACUCUAUUGUUCUACUUUCACUAGCUAAUAAGUAAGCCAUUUGGAAACAUACU